This 235-nucleotide ribosomal RNA is filed under the name uncultured Allobrachymonas sp. RNAcentral describes it as "uncultured Brachymonas sp. partial 16S ribosomal RNA". It matches the Rfam family "Bacterial small subunit ribosomal RNA", at positions 1145 to 1382 of the family's 1533-position model. Lineage: Bacteria; Pseudomonadati; Pseudomonadota; Betaproteobacteria; Burkholderiales; Comamonadaceae. The record is from RNAcentral.
GGGACUGCCGGUGACAAACCGGAGGAAGUGGGGAUGACGUCAAGUCCUCAUGGCCCUUAUAGUGGGGCUACACACGUCAUACAAUGGCCGGUACAGAGGGUAGCCAACCGCAGGGGGAGCCAAUCCCACAAAGCCGGUACGUAGUCCGGAUCGCAGUCUGCAACUCGACUGCGUGAAGUCGGAAUCGCUAGUAAUCGCGGAUCAGCAUGUCGCGGUGAAUACGUUCCCGGGUCUU